RNAcentral lists this ribosomal RNA (1448 nucleotides) under Bacillus licheniformis. RNAcentral's name for it is "bacterial SSU rRNA". It matches the Rfam family "Bacterial small subunit ribosomal RNA". Lineage: Bacteria; Bacillati; Bacillota; Bacilli; Caryophanales; Bacillaceae. The record is from RNAcentral.
GGACGAACGCCGGCGGCGUGCCUUAUACCUGCAAGUUGAGCGGACCGACGGGAGCUUGCUUCCUUAGGUUAGCGGCGGACGGGUGAGUAACACGUGGGUAACCUGCCUGUAAGACUGGGAUAACUCCGGGAAACCGGGGCUAAUUCCGGAUGCUUGAUUGAACCGCAUGGUUCCAAUCAUAAAAGGUGGCUUUUAGCUACCACUUACAGAUGGACCCGCGGCGCAUUAGCUAGUUGGUGAGGUAACGGCUCACCAAGGCGACGAUGCGUAGCCGACCUGAGAGGGUGAUCGGCCACACUGGGACUGAGACACGGCCCAGACUCCUACGGGAGGCAGCAGUAGGGAAUCUUCCGCAAUGGACGAAAGUCUGACGGAGCAACGCCGCGUGAGUGAUGAAGGUUUUCGGAUCGUAAAACUCUGUUGUUAGGGAAGAACAAGUACCGUUCGAAUAGGGCGGCACCUUGACGGUACCUAACCAGAAAGCCACGGCUAACUACGUGCCAGCAGCCGCGGUAAUACGUAGGUGGCAAGCGUUGUCCGGAAUUAUUGGGCGUAAAGCGCGCGCAGGCGGUUUCUUAAGUCUGAUGUGAAAGCCCCCGGCUCAACCGGGGAGGGUCAUUGGAAACUGGGGAACUUGAGUGCAGAAGAGGAGAGUGGAAUUCCACGUGUAGCGGUGAAAUGCGUAGAGAUGUGGAGGAACACCAGUGGCGAAGGCGACUCUCUGGUCUGUAACUGACGCUGAGGCGCGAAAGCGUGGGGAGCGAACAGGAUUAGAUACCCUGGUAGUCCACGCCGUAAACGAUGAGUGCUAAGUGUUAGAGGGUUUCCGCCCUUUAGUGCUGCAGCAAACGCAUUAAGCACUCCGCCUGGGGAGUACGGUCGCAAGACUGAAACUCAAAGGAAUUGACGGGGGCCCGCACAAGCGGUGGAGCAUGUGGUUUAAUUCGAAGCAACGCGAAGAACCUUACCAGGUCUUGACAUCCUCUGACAACCCUAGAGAUAGGGCUUCCCCUUCGGGGGCAGAGUGACAGGUGGUGCAUGGUUGUCGUCAGCUCGUGUCGUGAGAUGUUGGGUUAAGUCCCGCAACGAGCGCAACCCUUGAUCUUAGUUGCCAGCAUUCAGUUGGGCACUCUAAGGUGACUGCCGGUGACAAACCGGAGGAAGGUGGGGAUGACGUCAAAUCAUCAUGCCCCUUAUGACCUGGGCUACACACGUGCUACAAUGGGCAGAACAAAGGGCAGCGAAGCCGCGAGGCUAAGCCAAUCCCACAAAUCUGUUCUCAGUUCGGAUCGCAGUCUGCAACUCGACUGCGUGAAGCUGGAAUCGCUAGUAAUCGCGGAUCAGCAUGCCGCGGUGGAAUACGUUUCCCGGGCCUUGUACACACCGCCCGUCACACCACGAGAGUUUGUAACACCCGAAGUCGGUGAGGUAACCUUUUGGAGCCAGCC